GAAGAAUUAGUGUUGGAGUUGGUGUUUGAAAUGACAUUUUUCUAUAGUUUCCAAAACCUAAUAAUUUUGUUUCACAUUGUUUUCUUUCCAAACACAUGUUAGCUUUUGCUUUUGGAAUGUUGUCCCAAGACUUUUUAAAAUCUUAAUGUUAAUUAAAAAGAUUGACAUAUAUUGUUGUCAGAAGAAUUCCAUUUCAAAAAGAUUGAAUGACUUAAGUACUUUUUGUUUUGAGGGAGAUCAGAGUGAUGAAAUUAACUAUUCUGCAUUAGUGUUGAAUGUUAUGGAAGAUAUUACGUGCAAUCUUUUUCAAGAAUAUCAUACGUAUUUUUUCUUACUCUGAUCUUGCCGUCACGUAUUUUGUCGCAAUUAAUGUGUGUUAGAGGGAUUGUCAAGAGAAUCGGCCCAGGUAUGUUAAGGCUAUCCCUUCUUUCCUUUUGGCAUGAUUCGAAUAAUACAAAUAAAAUGAGCAAAAUACGCAAUUUUCAUAAAUGACUAUAUUCAUAGAAAUACUAGAGAUGCGUAUGUUCUUAAUUCCCCAUGUGUCAUAUUAUUCUAUCAUCUGUUCAUGGGUCUCAGAAAAUACGUAGGUUGAUAAAGUUUAUUUCAUGAUAUUAAUCAGAGACAUAAUGGUCUUAUGACGUACUGAGAGAUUUUAUUAGCAUAUUUCAUAUGCAUUUCAUGCAUUUAUACAUGCACAUUGACCAAUGACUAGAUUGCGUUAUAUACGCGUAUAUAUAUAUAUAUAUAUAUAUAUAUAGGAUAUGGGAAAGGUUAUGGCGUUAUAUACGCACUACCACCUGAUCAGCUAGUAUAAGUUGAUGAUUUUGCCUAUAGUGGCCGAGAUGAUAUGAUGGGAUGCCCUUAGAGGCCUGAUGAUGUUAUGAAACAUACACCUAUGCACGACAUGACAUUCAUACGCAUAUGCAUGACAUUGUAAUUAUUUCAUGAUUUACAGAGUUAUCCUGACUUAUAGGUCGAGCCAUUUACUCUAUCUUUCUUCCAUGUCUAUUCUGUACUUAUUUAUGUACCUUAUAUACUCAGUACAUUAUUCGUACUGACGUCCCUUUUGCCUGGGGACGCUGUGUUUCAUGUCCGCAGGUCCCGAUAGACAAGUCGAGAGUCCUCUAAAUAGGCUAUCAGCUUAGCGAAAGAUGUUGGUGAUCUCCAUUUGCUCCGGAGUUGCUUGUUUGGUCAGUAUGAUUUAGACACAUAUUGUUUGGUAUGGCGGGGCCCUGUCCCGACCUUUACGUUAAGUGUGUAUUCUUAGAGGCUUGUAGAUAGAUGUCAUGUAUAAGAAUGCUUGUAUGGCCUUGCCGGCCUAUUUUUUGAGUUUACAAAUGACCAUGUUGGCAUUAUAGGCCUGUAUGUUACAGGUAAAAGUUUU
RNAcentral lists this long non-coding RNA (1384 nucleotides) under Nicotiana tabacum (common tobacco). RNAcentral describes it as "long non-coding RNA (NTAB_LNC012297)". Lineage: Eukaryota; Viridiplantae; Streptophyta; Magnoliopsida; Solanales; Solanaceae. The record is from RNAcentral.